AUCGCUUCUUGGCCUUUUGGCUAAGAUCAAGUGUAGUAUCUGUUCUUAUCACUUUAAUAUCUGAAAAGUCCCCCAUCUGGGGACCGUAUAGUAAAUAGAUUUUUGAGAAUUGGGGCUGAUUUCUAAGCUUGCAUCAGUCGCCCUAUGCAUUGACCCAAUAUGGCAGUACCUUUUGAAGUAAUUUACAAAUG
Small nuclear RNA from Hyla sarda, 191 nucleotides. RefSeq annotates it as U2 spliceosomal RNA. The transcript has a single exon. The record is from RefSeq and is a predicted model, not a curated record. NCBI's taxonomy places the organism in Eukaryota, Metazoa, Chordata, Amphibia, Anura, Hylidae.